CCUACGGGGUGCAGCAGUGGGGAAUAUUGGGCAAUGGACGCAAGCCUGACCCAGCAACGCCGCGUGAAGGAAGAAGGCUUUCGGGUUGUAAACUUCUUUUCUCAGGGACGAAGAAAGUGACGGUACCUGAGGAAUAAGCCACGGCUAACUACGUGCCAGCAGCCGCGGUAAUACGUAGGUGGCAAGCGUUAUCCGGAUUUAUUGGGUUUAAAGGGUGCGCAGGCGGGAGAUCAAGUCAGCGGUAAAAUGUCGGGGCUCAACCCCGGCCGGCCGUUGAAACUGGUUUUCUAGAGUUGGAGAGAAGUAUGCGGAAUUCGUGGUGUAGCGGUGAAAUGCAUAGAUAUCACGAAGAACUCCGAUUGCGAAGGCAGCAUACCGGCUCCAUACUGACGCUGAGGCACGAAAGCGUGGGGAUCGAACAGGAUUAGAUACCCGAGUAGUC
This 442-nucleotide ribosomal RNA is filed under the name uncultured bacterium. RNAcentral's name for it is "partial 16S ribosomal RNA". It matches the Rfam family "Bacterial small subunit ribosomal RNA", at positions 338 to 795 of the family's 1533-position model. The record is from RNAcentral.